Molecule: long non-coding RNA, 1923 nt
Organism: Onychostoma macrolepis
Lineage: Eukaryota; Metazoa; Chordata; Actinopteri; Cypriniformes; Cyprinidae
Exons: 4
Source: RefSeq, a predicted model, not a curated record
AUAUCUUGUUACGAUUUGAGAAACCGCCGCAAAUGAUUCUGUGCGUGAGUGAACUGUCCGAAUGAAUCAAACUGAAUCGCGAACCAUAUUCAGACCGGACACAAAACACACGGACAGGGAAAGUGAUUCACAGAGCCGCAAAGACAAGGCACCAUGACCUGCGCUUCUGGCUACAUCUCUCCUGUAUGCUAAACCACAGAGCAGUGCCAAGGGCAGCCGAGCACAUCUUCAACAGGACAUGUUCUCAUUUACACCCGACAGAAACACGAUGCCUAUCUACAGUCACAUUUCAUGCCAGCCUCUAGAUGGCAGUGUUACAUUUCAGGAUGACACACCAAUACGGAUUUGGGUUGCUAACGGAUCUAAUGAACCCCGUCUUUGCUGUAGGGAAGGGAAGGGACUGACGAAUCGACCAGGUUUGGGGCUGUGAGGAUGAGGUGAGAUUCUGUGACCUGCAAACUCACACAGAGCGUUAAUGACAGAUGAGCUUCAUCGACUCACAGCUGAAAAGUUUACGGAUGUUCUUGGAAAAUCCGGUGUGGAGGAUUUACAGUCUUUGAUGAACUGGUUUGUACAGGAUUUUCAGUCAAAUAUGCUGACAGAGGUGAAGUUUAUACAGGGCUUCAAAUUGUGAAGAAGUUGAGAUUACAGAGCUUUCCAUGUGUGAGGGAUACGUGUCCAUCUGGAGCCAGAAGGGGACAAUACUUGUCCUGAAGGCUGAAAGCAUAAGUAGACCGGACCAGAUUUCAUCAUUUCCACUUGAAAUGUUGUUCAGUGUUGAGUUAAUUUUACAUAUUACAUAUUCAGUGCUGGGUAGAUUACUUACAAAUUGCAGUCUGUUACUGUUUUCAAAUUACAUGCUGAAAAUUGUUUUCAGUAAUGUAAUCAAGAUUUACUUACUCAGUUUAGGUCAUGUAUUCUGACUACUUUUGGAUUACUGUUAGAUUACUUUUGACAUAACUUGUUUAUAAAUUUUAAUGGGGUUAUUGUUAUUUUUAAAAAGAGAAUAAAAUAUAUGACCAUUAAUCAACAUCAGAGAACACACAAAUAUGUUGUAAAAUUAUUGAAAUAUUAACCUUAUAAACUUUAAGUACACAUUUUUAGGUCAAGGGAGUUUGACUGACAAAAAAGUUUGGGAAUCCCUGCAUCAUGGAAAAAGGAAUUGUAAAUUAUGAAUAAUUUACUGUCAUUGUGUGAAUAAUUUGUAAUCAUGUGUAAUCCAUAAAAAAAGUAACUGUAAUUUGAUUAUGAGCAUUUUAAAAUAUAAUAUAAUUAUAAGUACUUAAUUUCUGGAAUCUGAUUACGUUAUCUAGAUUACAUGUAAUUGGUUGCUUCCCAGCUCUGCACAUAUCAUAUUAUUAAAGCAUCAAAAACAAACCAACAAAGCAUCCAAAGCCUCUUUGUAAGCUCAGAGUUAAGGGUUCCCCUGAGCCCUUAGGAUAUUGUCCGGUUCUUUUGCAUCACCACCGAUGUGAUUCAUGAUCUAACAGAGUUACUUAAUUAAGAAGCCCAUAAUCCACAGCGUCUAAAGCUCUCUGUGUUCAACACAACUCCAGCCUGGAGGGAAACAAGGUGUUGGGAGUUUAAGACGGAGUGUAAUCCCAGAGAUGGAGGGAAUGAUGGAUCGCAGGAUCAGCGUGUGACUCCCAGAGUAAUCAGUCCAGGCCGCUGGUCUUCGCUCUCCUCCAAAGCCCCACACCAAUCUCUCAAUCACUCCUUUGUCUCACUCCCACUCGCACUGGCUUUCCAUCUCUCAUGCGCCUGUGAAUUUAGUGUUUGGCUUGUGUUUGGUUUGUGUUUUCAUGCAAAACCGGACAAAACCCUCAGGACAUCCAAUAGGUGAUUUUUUCUUCUUCAGUAGAACAGUGAAGGUGAUUUUAGCUGAAAUCGUGGUUCCUGGUGAUUCAUAAAAUGUAAGUCAAU